UGCUACUACCAGAAAUAAACUGAACUUGUAGACGAUUGAAUUGGAAGGAGAUAAUACAAAUAAAAUUAACAGUACAAAUGCCAUUCUUUAGCCGCAGGUGAACCAAAAGAUGGCGACAGCGGUUGGAUGGACGUGGAGUUGGAGACCGCCCACAACCACAGUUACAUGUCCCCGCCGGUCAUCGCCUCUUUCUUUACCUCUACCAUGCUUCAGGGUGGUCCAUGAAAGCAAGACUAGACCAUUCAAAGUCUGCUGCGAUUAUUCCUGCUUCGAGCUAAAGGAUGUCAGUUACCAACCUCCUGGAACAAAAGUCAACCUUCUAGAUGGCGUGAGUUUCUCCCUCCGUGAAAAAAGUUUUGGUUUGAUAUUUGGACGGAGUGGUAGUGGAAAAACUACUCUCUUACAGCUGAUUGCAGGAUUUAGUAAGCCCACGUCAGGCUCCAUUCAUGUCCAAAGAUAUGGUAAUGAUGGCUGCCCAAAUAGGUUGCCUGAACUCUUAAAUGCAAAUAAAGUUGGGAUUGUAUUUCAAUUUCCUGAGAGGUAUUUUGUGGCAGAGAAGGUUUUUGAUGAAGUCAUCUUCGGGUGGGCAAGACAAAAAGGUGGCAGUCAGUUGAAAGAGCUUCUUGAUUUAAGACUUCAAAAAGCUAUUACUUCAGUUGGUCUAACUGGAAUUGCUUUGGAUCAGGAUCCACAAUCACUAAGUGGUGGUUACAAACGUCGUCUUGCUUUAGCAAUUCAGUUAGUACAAGCUCCAGAUUUGUUGUUAUUGGAUGAGCCUCUUGCUGGUCUUGAUUGGAGAGCUCGUGCAGAUGUCGUGAAACUCCUAAAGAAUCUAAAGAAGGAAUUAACUAUACUUGUCGUCAGCCAUGACCUUAAAGAGUUGUCAUGCCUAGUUGAUCAAUCAUGGAGGAUGGAGAUGGGUGGAAUGCUUAAAGGUGAGCCACUUCCAGUUUAACAGAUGCAAUGCGUCUUUGCCUACUUGAGCUAUGCAAGAUGUAAAUACAUGAGAGAGAUACGAAGAACCCCGCUUUAUUCUCGCUCUUCAUCGAGUUCAAGCAUCACCACUCAUUCCUAAUGACAUACUAAUCACCAGCUCACAGUGACGAAUCACGAUACUUGAUAGACGAACAGUGAAUACAAGAGUUGGAUUGAUGUUUCAUACUAGGAUGAAUAUGUUUGUUCUUUGUUAAAUGUAGUCAGCAUCAGUUUUGAUCCAGUGCUUCCAAAUUAACCGUUGUAGUACCAGUGUCAAUCCCUUUAGAUGAUGGCACAGAUUUGGAGGUCUCCUUCUUCAAAGUGAUCUUCUUAGGAGACCUUUUAUUUUCCUGUGUCAUCCCCGUAAUGCAUGCCCGGCUUGCCAGAGAGUUUCUUGAUUUUGUUUUGUCCAGUGCUUUACAUAUAUAUGAUUAGCAUUCUUCAGAACAAUCUAAUUAUGUCUUCCAUUUUAUCUGGAUGAAUAGUUGAAAUUGAACGUC
Molecule: RNA transcript, 1475 nt
Organism: Coffea arabica (coffee)
Lineage: Eukaryota; Viridiplantae; Streptophyta; Magnoliopsida; Gentianales; Rubiaceae
Gene name: ABC transporter I family member 11, chloroplastic-like
Source: RefSeq, a predicted model, not a curated record